UACGUAGGGCGCAAGCGUUGUCCGGAAUUAUUGGGCGUAAAGAGCUCGUAGGCGGCCUGUUACGUCUGCUGUGAAAUCCCGGGGCUUAACCCCGGGCGUGCAGUGGAUACGGGCAGGCUGGAGGCAGGCAGGGGAGAACGGAAUUCCCGGUGUAGCGGUGAAAUGCGCAGAUAUCGGGAGGAACACCGGUGGCGAAGGCGGCUCUCUAGUACGGUACUGACGCUGAGACGCGAAAGCUGGGAGGAGCGAACAGG
This 254-nucleotide ribosomal RNA is filed under the name uncultured bacterium. RNAcentral's name for it is "partial 16S ribosomal RNA". It matches the Rfam family "Bacterial small subunit ribosomal RNA", at positions 524 to 776 of the family's 1533-position model. The record is from RNAcentral.